Molecule: ribosomal RNA, 320 nt
Filed under: uncultured eukaryote
Lineage: Eukaryota
Description: partial 18S ribosomal RNA
Rfam family: Eukaryotic small subunit ribosomal RNA
Source: RNAcentral
CCCUUAGAUGUUCUGGGCCGCACGCGCGCUACACUGAUGCAUGCAACGAGUUUAUAACCUUGAUGGAGACGUCUGGGUAAUCUUUUAAAAGUGCAUCGUGCUGGGGAUAGAUUAUUGUAAUUUUUAAUCUUGAACGAGGAAUUCCUAGUAAACGCAAGUCAUCAGCUUGCAUUGAUUACGUCCCUGCCCUUUGUACACACCGCCCGUCGCACCUACCGAUUGAAUGGUCCGGUGAAAUUUCGGGAGUUUGGCGCGAGCUUGACUUGCGCCGAGCAAACUUACUUAAAUCUUACCAUUUAGAGGAAGGUGAAGUCGUAACA